Molecule: long non-coding RNA, 1565 nt
Filed under: Macaca fascicularis (crab-eating macaque)
Lineage: Eukaryota; Metazoa; Chordata; Mammalia; Primates; Cercopithecidae
Description: lncRNA (ENSMFAG00000052530.1)
Source: RNAcentral
GGGGAGUGGAUGCUGAUUGGUUUGUGUGUAUGCAAGAAAGGUUAAAGCAAGGCCUCCACUCAAAGGUGGGCAUGACAGUGUAGUAAACCAAUUAGAAAAGGAUAGAUGUAUGUAAAAUGGGUGAAGGGUGGGGCCCAAUCAGAGGAAAGCAUGCCAAACAGGAAGAUGAUUUCUCAAUCCGUUCCGAGGAUUUAAACUGUCUUCAGCUUGGAGGUGGGGUUUCAACAGAGAUCCACCCCCAUCUGCCUUGGAAUUUGGCUGCCUGCUGUCACUAUCACCUUGAGCUCAUCAAAGGCAUUCUUCAUUUCUGUUUACAGCAGUUUUGAUUGUGUGUUAGGCUGUUUUUGCAUUACUAUAAAGAAUACCUCAGACUGAGUAAUUUAUAAGGAAAAGAGAUUGAAUUGGCUGAUAGUUCUGUAGCCUUUACAGGAAGUGUGAUGCUGGCCUCUGCUUGGCUUCUGGUGGGGGCCUCAGGAAACUUUUACACAUGGCCGAAGAUGAAGUUGGAGCAGAAAUGUCACAUGGUGAGAGCAGGAGCAAGAGAACAAGGAGGGACACACAUUUAAACAAUGAGAUCUCUCGUGAACUCAGUCAUCACCAAGGGGAUGGUGCUAAGCCAUUCAUGAGGCAUUCACCCCUAUGAUCCAUAUACCUCCCACCACGCCCCACCUCCAACAACUUGGGGUCACAUUUCAACUUGAGAUUUGGAAGACACAAAUACCCAAACCAUAGCAGAUCUCUAGCAUUUCUUUUUCAUUCUUUCUUAGAAUUUAUAUAUCUCUGCUUACAUUAUCUGUUGUUGCAGUUUGUCCACUUUUUUCAUUAGAGCCCUUAGUAUAUUAAUCAUAGUUGUUGUAAAUUCCCAGUUUGAUCAUUCCAACAUCCUUUGCAUGUCUGAGUCUGGUUCUGUGCUUGUUCUGUCUCUUCAAACAGUGUUUUUUGCCUUUUAGUGUGCGUUGUAAUUUUUUAUUGAAAGUUGGACAUGAUGGGCUGGGUGAAAAGGAACUCUGGUAAAUAGGUCUUUAUUACUAAUGUGUUUGUAUGUGCUUGAUGGGUAAUAGUCCUAUGAUUAAGUCUGUCUUGUAGUGACCCCGUGUGCCUAAGCUGUAAAUUUUGAAGUGCCUGUCAGUUUUUCCUCACCUUAGGUGGGAUGGGGGACUGAAAUUGGGUAUCCCUUCCUCUAGGUUAGUUAGACCUUGAUAAAACACCAAUAGGUUAGGCUCUGGUAAACUAGUUUAUCUUGAGGACAGGCCUUUUAAGAAAGAACAGAAUACCGGUCGCAGUGGCUCACACCUGUAAUCCCAGCACUUUGGGAGGCCGAGGCAGGAGGAUCAUGGGGUCAGGAGCUCGAGACCAGCCUGGCCAACAUGGUGAAACCCCGUCUCUACUAAAAAUACAAAAAUUAGCUGGGUGUGGUGGUGCACGCCUGUAGUCCCAGCUACUCAGGAGGCUGAGGGAGGAGAAUCACUUGAACUUGAGAGGUGGAGGUUACAGUGAGCCGAGAUCAUGCCACCACACUCCAGCCUGGGCAACAGAGCGAGACUCUGUCUCAAAAAAAAAAAAAA